RNAcentral lists this ribosomal RNA (275 nucleotides) under Clostridioides difficile. RNAcentral describes it as "partial 16S ribosomal RNA". It matches the Rfam family "Bacterial small subunit ribosomal RNA", at positions 945 to 1219 of the family's 1533-position model. Lineage: Bacteria; Bacillati; Bacillota; Clostridia; Peptostreptococcales; Peptostreptococcaceae. The record is from RNAcentral.
UUUAAUUCGAAGCAACGCGAAGAACCUUACCUAAGCUUGACAUCCCAAUGACAUCUCCUUAAUCGGAGAGUUCCCUUCGGGGACAUUGGUGACAGGUGGUGCAUGGUUGUCGUCAGCUCGUGUCGUGCGAUGUUGGGUUAAGUCCCGCAACGAGCGCAACCCUUGUCUUUAGUUGCCAUCAUUAAGUUGGGCACUCUAGAGAGACUGCCAGGGAUAACCUGGAGGAAGGUGGGGAUGACGUCAAAUCAUCAUGCCCCUUAUGCUUAGGGCUACAC